This 276-nucleotide ribosomal RNA is filed under the name Triticum aestivum (bread wheat). RNAcentral describes it as "partial small subunit ribosomal RNA". The record is from RNAcentral. Lineage: Eukaryota; Viridiplantae; Streptophyta; Magnoliopsida; Poales; Poaceae.
AUGGGCCUCCUGCUCGACGGCACCGUCGUCGCCAUCAAGCGCCGCGUCGGCGCGCCGCGCCAAGACUUCGUCGACGAGGUGAGGAGGCAGUCGGAGAUCUGGCACCGGAACAUGGUGACCCUCAUCGGCUACUGCCAGGACGGGGGUCUGCAGAUGCUCGUCUUCGAGCACCUGCCCAACGGCAGCGUCCUCAGACCCCCAAAUCCCCCCUCAAUUGGUGGGCAAGUGCUUUCAUUGUUUCUCCCCACUUCACAGAGCCAAGGCAGUAGGCACUAG